Molecule: long non-coding RNA, 674 nt
Organism: Canis lupus familiaris (dog)
Lineage: Eukaryota; Metazoa; Chordata; Mammalia; Carnivora; Canidae
Exons: 3
Source: RefSeq, a predicted model, not a curated record
GCUUCAUAGUUUGGUGAGGUCUAUCUCAAAGAUGACAUAAAAAGUGGCAGAAGAUGCUUCCAAAUCUCACUCUGUGAUAUAGACACAAAACAUGUGUAGUUCCAACACACUGAAAUGCCAGACCAUAAGACUGAUGUGACUUAGAGACAACUCACAGGUCCAGAGGGAAGAGAAGAUGACCGCUUCCAGCAGUGGCAUCCUGUUGGCCUGGCUGGAUCCCCAGACACAAGUCUCCAGGUGAAGAUCACAUGAAAAUGAUUUUCUAGCAACAUUUCCCCAAAUUAGGAGGUCACAUAUUCAGGCAAUAAAGGUGCCAAACAUCUUUGCUGAAGGAAACUGCCUGUGUGCAACACUGUGUGCAGUUCUGCUAGAUGUGAUCUCAUUCCUGCAUAUGCAUGGGGAUGCAAGAGACAUCUUGCAAGACAUCAAGCAAGAAAUUACAGUACUUUGUUAAUAAGAAGAUGGCAUUUUGGUGCCACUCUCUUUAGGACUUUGUAUCUAUCCUACACAGAGGAAAAGACAGUCUGGUCAAGAAGCUACUCUGAGCUCUCCAAGAAUAAACCUUGUCUCUAACUUGGCAGAGAGCAAUGGGAAUUGAGAGAAAAUAAAAUUUUGUUUUCUAAAUGAAGCCAAGGUUUGAGAAGAGGGGAGAAAAGUGGUCAAGAUAGAGCCAG